This 327-nucleotide ribosomal RNA is filed under the name uncultured eukaryote. Its description in RNAcentral is "partial 18S ribosomal RNA". It matches the Rfam family "Eukaryotic small subunit ribosomal RNA", at positions 1470 to 1796 of the family's 1831-position model. The record is from RNAcentral.
CCCUUAGAUGUUCUGGGCUGCACGCGCGCUACACUGAAGCGUUCAACGAGUAUUCACCUUGCCCGGGAGGGUUGGGUAAUCUUUUGAAAACGCUUCGUGAUGGGGAUAGAUUAUUGCAAUUAUUAAUCUUCAACGAGGAAUUCCUAGUAAGCGCGAGUCAUCAGCUCGUGCUGAAUACGUCCCUGCCCUUUGUACACACCGCCCGUCGCUCCUACCGAUUGAGUGGUCCGGUGAGGCUUUGGGAUCUGAGCGGAAAGAGCGUUUCGCUGUUUCUGCUCGGAAAACUCAGUCGAACCUUAUCAUUUAGAGGAAGGAGAAGUCGUAACA